RNA transcript from Solenopsis invicta (red fire ant), 3324 nucleotides. RefSeq lists it as uncharacterized. The transcript has 2 exons. Lineage: Eukaryota; Metazoa; Arthropoda; Insecta; Hymenoptera; Formicidae. The record is from RefSeq and is a predicted model, not a curated record.
ACAAGAUUUUAAACAAAGAAGGGUUUUAAUGUGAGACGAUACUAAAUUGUUCAAUAAAAACUAAUAUAAAAUUAAAAACAUUCAACUAUUAAUUUAAUUAUUAACAAAAAGGCAACUUGAGAAUAAGGAAUAAUCGAAUAUAUAGUCUAAACAACAGUUUCAUUUUUUUUAAUUGUAAAACGUUACCAUUUACAAGAACUUAGAAAAAUAUGUGAAACAUAUUAAUUAAAUGCAGCAAAGAAAUUUUGUACCUGAGUAAUGAUACAGAAUAGGGAAUCCCUUUGUUGAUCCUGAACUUGACAUAUGUUGUUAGGAUUUGAGUUUCUUUCAGGAGAUUUUAGCUGUUUCUUGUUAUUCGUUAAAAGUUACUAUUAAAUAAAAUUAAUAAUAUAAAUGUGCGUUUAGCUUUAAAACUUUAACUUUAUUUAACGCGUAUGUUUUAUUGUAUCUAUCUUUAAGUAACUACACCUAAUUAUUCCGAUCAAUACUUACUAACAACCAUAAACAUUCUACAAUGUGUAUUAUAAUUAUUCCUACAUUAUCUCUUUAUUGCUGCGUGCCCGACUUAUGGAGCGGUUAUUAUUGAUUCGCGCAAGGCGAUCGAGGAGUGCGACAAGAGAAGAUCGUUUCCUCCAAACGGGUUUAGUUUUGACGUGACGCGGAACUAUGUAUGGACGUUUGUUUUAACUCUGCGAUCUUUCUCAUUGUAAAGAGAGUUAUUAAUAAAGUUCGAAGUUGCCUUUGCAAAAGAGUGUCAAGUCAUUCUGGGUCGAGCGUCUGAUUCUCUUCUUCCGUGUGCCGCGUGUGUUUGUCUCGCCGAGUGUAACAAUAUAGUACAUAAAUGUAUAUGUGCAUAUGUAUAAGUAUGUAUGCAUGUAUUUAUGUAUGUGUAUGUACAAAUUUUUUUUAUCUUUCUAACCAUCUUUUACCAUAGUCUAUUAUCUAUCCCUAUUUGCAUUUGUACGUUGACAUUUCUAACUUAAUAAAUGGUCUCAGUAAAUGCAUUCAAUUUACAACUGCAUAAUACUUAUCGAGAGCUGCUAGUAUAAAAUUUAAUGUUGCUAAAGUAAGUUUUCAUUCUAUUUGAAAAAUUCACGAUGUGCACGGUUGUGUGAGUGUUUCGCUUCCAGUAAAACAUUACUAUAUUUUUCCCAAAAUAUUCCGUAUCGCAAGAUUUUUCAAUAUAAUCAACAAUCGUAUUUGUAAAACGCGUUGAUACGAGGUGACAAUGGAGGAAAAAAACAACGUGCAAGUGACCAACACGCCAUCGAUAGAAUACAUCUUACGUCCAAUAACGUAUACUUCGUGGCUCAUGGGAGUUGGUGUUGCACGACCAAGAAAUUCUUCUAAAGCUAUAACCAUAAUAAAACGCAUUGUUUAUCUGUCCGUGUAUACCGUUCAUCUGGUAUAUACCGCGAUAGAGUUCAUUACUGACAUCUACGCUAUUGGAAGCGGUAUAUUCGAUUUCGUAUGUGUGAUGUACAUCGUGACGUUCCACUUAUCGGCGUAUUACAAUGUUUAUCAUGGGAUCGGGCAGUACGAGAAGUGGCCAGAACUGAUGGACAGAAUGAAGGAGCUCGAUCGGAAGAUCAAGAGGGAAACAUCUCUCAAUGACCGACCAGUAAAAAACAUGGAAGCCCUAGCGAUUCUAAUGACUUUUGCUUGGUGUACGUUAGCUCCGAUCGCAGAAGUUCUUUAUUAUUACUUUAAAAAUCUAAAGAAUAUGUACGUGGCUGAAAUUCUGAAUUAUUACGUGGAAGCCCAGUUGUUAAUGAACAGCUUGGUCUUCGACGUUGUCGUAUAUGUGAUUUAUUAUAGAUUCAAAACAAUAAAUAAAUUGAUCGGGCAGUUGAACGAUUCAGUAUCCCAUCCGUCAUGGAUCACGCUAAAGAUUACACGAAUCAGAGAAUUACAUACGGGUAAGUGCAAAUAUUAUAUUUUGUACAACAAUUCAAUAGAAUAAAUCUAUAUUGUCGCAGAAGUAAUUUAAGAAGGUCUAUGAAGCAGUUGCAAUAACAUCGAAAUGUUAAUUCUACUACGUAGGUAUUUGUCAAGUGGUCAGCAUGGUAAACGAUAUUUAUGGUCUUUGUCUCCUCUUCUAUUCAACGAAUUGCUUUGUCAUGACUGCAUCUACAUUAUUCAAAAUCUACACAGAUGUUUUGGAGAAAAACUACAAGGACAUAUUGAUGAAUAAUAUCUUUUGGAUAAUGCAAAUUGCACAAUUUGGUCUGAUGUGCUGGAUUUGCACGCUCGCGCGUCAAGAAUCCGACAAAAUCGGAAUAUCUAUGUAUGAAAUUGUACAUAAUCGCAAAUUGGUGAAUUUUGGUAAGAUAAACAAGACGAGAAAUCAAUCAAGUUUAGAGAUGUAUCCGCCAUUUGAAGACUUGGGCAAUGAGCAAAAUUCUAGCAGUGGUCACAAUCUGAAUUACGUUGUUUUAGAAAAUCUCUCGCGCAAAAAUAUAGAUCUUGACUGUGUCAAAAAAGAGAUCAAUGAAUUUUCGAUUCAACUGCAACUGUAUCGAGUGGCAUUUACGGCUUGUGAUUUCUUUGAAAUAAACAAUGCUCUCUUCAGCGGUUUUGUCGGAACGAUCAUCACUUAUUUAAUAAUCUUCAUUCAAUUCUAUCAACGACCCAAAAAUUUAGACUAGAACGUAGCAAAACAUUUAGUAAAAAAUAAUUAACUAUUAAUUAACUAAUAAGAGUAAAAGUAUACUACCAAAGAAUAAAAAAAAUAAUGUUGUACAUAAAAUUUUAUGUAAGGAUUGUGAUGCAUCCUAUGUUAGACAAACUCGCCGUUCACUUAAAACUAGAAUUUCUGAAUAUAAAAACGACAUUAGAAAAAACAAGUAAUCGGCUGUUUCCGAGCAUAGGACGACACAACCGUGACUCCAACUGGGGUAAUGCUGAGAUUAAUUUUAUGCAAUGAAAUAAUACAACAUAUACAUAACCAUUUAUAAGUAAAAUAUUUUACUUUCUCAAUCUUCUUAGCUGACUUACACUAUUAACCAUUAAAGAAGGAAGUCUAAAGAUGGUCAAAAUUGGACUAAGAUGGGUACUUUUAAAAUACAUACAGUUUCUACGUUGAAAGACCAUACAUUCAUGAAGAAAAACUAAUUUAUCUAGAAAAUUUAUUAUAUAUAAUACGAGCCAAUUAAGAAAAUUGAGAACUUAUAACUGUACUUAAUAUACAUAUAAUUAAAUUAUAUUACAAGCGGCAAAUAAUUAAAGAACAGCUGAUCGGAAUUUGAAUCCACGAUCCUUCUUUCUCACACUAACAUUAAUGUAACUAUUACUUCAUGAAAUUAAACUACUUUCGUAAUUUGA